UACUCGUGCAGUGUUUGAGGUGAGGGAAAUCUUUCUACAUUUAGCUGAUUAAAUGCAUUUAAGUACGGUUUACAACACAACAUAACAUUUUAAUUAGUUAUGAAGUUUCGAGAACAUAGUAGUUAAUGCAAACCCGUAACCUGCGAAAUUAUUCUUUGUGUAGUUUUUACGGACCUCGUGGUCGUAUUUACAUUUCGUAUUUACAAACCAUAAAAAAUGGCUCCAAGCUGCAAGAAUUUCGCAGCUGAAAGGGAUGAGCAGAAGUUACCAGGUAGAGGAUGCCAGGAGUUGAAAUCCAGUGGGUUGGCAUGAUAACAAAUGGCUGCAACUAAGGUUGAACUAUGGUGUCCACCCAUGCAUCAACUGAAGUGUUUAACUAUGGAUUUGUAGCAAACAUUGUUAGCAUGGAAACUUCUAACACAUGAAUAAAGGUUGGCAUGACACCAAAAGGCAGUCUUGUAUGCACAUUUGCAUGAGGUGGCGGCAGCUUGUGACAGAAGUUGAAGCCACAAGAGUUGUGACCAGGAUGCAGAAAAACGAAGAUGUCAACCUUUAGGUUCUGUGUUUGUAGUCUGUCAUUUCAAAGGGAAUUUGUGGAUUAACUUUUUUUUACCAUUCAGUUUAAACUGUUUGAUUAAAAAAAAAAUUGUAAAAUUGCAAGUUUCUGGAGUACAGAUUGAUGUGAAGUUUAGUCCAUAAUAAACAGACUUUUAAAAACUUGAUUUGCUGGAUCAAAGAUUUAUGGAAAUGUACUUGCUCCAGUACAUGGUACUCCCAUCAUUGGCGUAUGGCAUAUUGCUGGUUUGCCUGGCCAUACUUCUAAGCAACAACUUGUUCAUGGAGAUCCUUUUAUUUAGUGGCAUAACACAAACUAUUUGACCCAAGUGUGUGUUUGGUGAAUUGUAAUGUAUAAAUCAAGUCCAUUAUUGAUUGCCUUAAACAGGCUUUGAAAUUGGUAAAUUUACAAUGAGGUUCCAUUUGUUGACCAUUAUUUAACAAGACCUAACACUGAUCAAUACAUGUAAAGCAUGUAUUAAUGUUAAUUUAAACCUGGGAAUACAUUUUAAUGCAGUAUGAACAAAUGUUUUU
Long non-coding RNA from Xyrauchen texanus (razorback sucker), 1089 nucleotides. RefSeq lists it as uncharacterized. The record is from RefSeq and is a predicted model, not a curated record. The transcript is spliced from 5 exons. NCBI's taxonomy places the organism in Eukaryota, Metazoa, Chordata, Actinopteri, Cypriniformes, Catostomidae.